RNAcentral lists this non-coding RNA (94 nucleotides) under unclassified sequences. Its description in RNAcentral is "Rhodo-rpoB RNA". It matches the Rfam family "Rhodo-rpoB RNA". The record is from RNAcentral.
CGGUCGGGAGGCUUCCGGUGGGACGGAAGCCAGGCAUAGACCGGAACUUUGUCGUCUCUGAGGGUGUGCCGCUGGGGCCCGACAGCGCCGCAUG